RNAcentral lists this ribosomal RNA (473 nucleotides) under Nipponnemertes sp. 17 Antarctica. RNAcentral's name for it is "partial large subunit ribosomal RNA". It matches the Rfam family "Bacterial large subunit ribosomal RNA", at positions 1888 to 2597 of the family's 2925-position model. Lineage: Eukaryota; Metazoa; Nemertea; Enopla; Monostilifera; Cratenemertidae. The record is from RNAcentral.
AGUUUUUUGAUUUGUUAAUGAAAGAUGUUUUCUGCUCAAUGAUAGUAAAUAGCCGCAGUAAUUUGACUGUGCGAAGGUAGCAUAAUCAUUUGCUUUUUAAUUUAAGGCUUGUAUGAAUGGAAAUAUGAAAAUUUUUCUGUCUUUAUUUAAUAAAUAAAAAUUGGUUUUUUUGUGAAGAAACAAAAAUGUAGUAAAGGGACAAGAAGACCCUUUUGAUCUUUAUUUUUUAAAAUAAGUGUUUAUUUAUAUUUAAAAAAUUUGGUUGGGGCGAUCAAAGAAGAAAAAAAUCUUCUUUUGUAAAAAAAUUAAUGAUCCGAAAUUUUCGAUUUAGAGAUUAAGUUACCAAAGGGAUAACAGCGUAAUUUUUUUUGUAAGUUCUUAUUAAAAAAGAAGAUUGCGACCUCGAUGUUGACUUAUUAUAACUUUUUAGUGCAGCAGUUAAGAAAGUAGGUCUGUUCGACCUUUAAAAUAUU